This 93-nucleotide small nuclear RNA is filed under the name Hordeum vulgare subsp. vulgare (domesticated barley). The record is from RNAcentral. Lineage: Eukaryota; Viridiplantae; Streptophyta; Magnoliopsida; Poales; Poaceae.
GUUCCUCUGGGGGCAUCUGGUUAAAUUGGAAUGAUAGAAGAUUAACAUGUCCCCUGCACAGGGAUGAUACGCAUAAAUGUUUUCCUCAUCCUG